UGGUGGGGUUCCCGAGCGGCCAAAGGGAGCAGACUGUAAAUCUGCCGUCAUCGACUUCGAAGGUUCGAAUCCUUCCCCCACCACC
This 85-nucleotide transfer RNA is filed under the name Yersinia enterocolitica. Its description in RNAcentral is "tRNA-Tyr". It matches the Rfam family "tRNA". Rfam says of the family: Transfer RNA (tRNA) molecules are approximately 80 nucleotides in length. Their secondary structure includes four short double-helical elements and three loops (D, anti-codon, and T loops). RNAcentral also lists the same sequence under 1 other name. Lineage: Bacteria; Pseudomonadati; Pseudomonadota; Gammaproteobacteria; Enterobacterales; Yersiniaceae. The record is from RNAcentral.